UUGACACAAAUAACUUAUCUUCAUUUAACGUCAUGUAAUUUUAUUCGCAGAUUUGCGCGUCAAAAAUAAAAGAUAUUUUCAAAAUAGGAACGUUUUUUUCACUUGUGGUAGUACACAAAUUCGUUAUGCGCCGUACGAAAUCGAACUUUUUGCGUUUGUAGCGAUUAUGGAGGUAAGAAAUAACAGAAGGGAGGAUAUUCCCCACUUGGUCUGUCUAAGCAGACAUAAGAGGGGAACAGUAGGCGCCAUAUUGGUCUAUCAAAGCGCGACAAUAAAGUACAAAACGCUAUAUUACUUUGGCCAACCAAUCACAUAGCAUACUUACUCUCACUACCUAAAAAAAGCUUUAUACUCCUUUCUGUUAUUUCUUAUCUUCAUGGUAGCGAUGGAAUUAACAAUUUCUAUGCAAUUUACGUGCGAUUUGCACUGUGCAUCAAUAACAGUCGCAACCUUAACUACUAAUUUAACUGUAGAAUCAUCGACGUAGGUAAAAUUUAUUCAGACUAGUGUUUCAAGCAUUAUUGUUCAUGAAAAUAUGCGUUUUGUUUUUUCAUCAUAACUUUUUCCAACUUCAUUGAAUCGCAAAAGCAUUGAUAGAUUCAUUCAACUCCUCGAUGUUUUCUACACCAAUCGAAAAAAAAGAUUGAAUUUUGAUCAUUUCUUCGGAAGUUAUAGGCAAAUGAAAAUGCGCUGGGUAAAAUUUAUUCAUGUUUAAGGUUUACGUAACAUUAUGAUGUUCAGGGAUCUAAAUAAUCUCUUCAAUAAGAUUUUAUUGAUUGCAGUGUUUUAUAACGGAGUAAUCAGUCACAAGUGUAACAUAUUUCAGAUAUUCAGAAGAAUAUCUUAAUUAUACUUUAGAGAUUUGGCUCGCGUCAUUUCACCGAUUUCUUAGUUGCGUGUUAUUUGCAACGUGACGAUCUCCGAGAGGCCGCGAGAACACGUAGAUCUACUCACAUCCGGGUCUUUUCGCGUUUUCAAUAAAAAAUAACGGAAAACGUCAUGCACAACUUUGUUUAUUGCGAGCCAUACAUCGUGGCUCGUCAUGAUAAGGCCGAGAGUCGCAGAACGAUUCGUGGUGGUCGUUGAUCUCGAAAAAGUCCGCCGGAUGCAAAGUGCAAGGCGACACUCCGUCGACAACGAUUACGGAGUAGGCGCAUCGAUACGAAUCGUUGCUUAAGAAAUAUCGUCGGUUCGUUCAGUUUUCCAGAUUGUCCAGUGAAAUUCUUUCGUGUGCACACGUCUCGUCGCGCGUUCGCGUUCAAGCUUUUGCCGUGGACUUUGCGUGAAGCACGUUCAAAGAUUCGCGGUGCAUGAGUGUGUGUAGAGUGAUCAGAUUGUUGGCGAAUAUAUCUCCAGUACCACGUUUGACAAUUUCAAGUACAAAUCUUAAUUUUUUCCAAUUUUAAGGCUCCUGGCUACUCGCCGCGGAACUCUUGAUUGAUGACAUCAGAAGCGAGGAAAUGUAUGCCCGAAAUUCCUUCAAAGUACAUCGAAAAAUGAAAGAAUAUAUCCAAAAAAUGACACGAUCGAUUAGGUGCAUAUCUAAAAUACUCUGAACGCUGUCCUUCUGCUCCAACAAUCACUAGAUAACUGUAAAAUUAAUGUAGUAUGUAACCUUCCAUUUUAACCUAUAUUCUCUUAUUAUUUUGUCACAUUAAUGCUAUAUUAUUAUUUAUUAUGUAUCAUAAUUAUGGAUCAUUUAAGGUUAGAGUAACUUUCGAUAAUUGUUGAGAUCGAACGUAAAAAUAAAUUAUUUACAGCAAUAAUAAAUUGUUUACAGCAAUACAAGCAACAAAUAAUAAAUCAUAGUCAUAAAAUAAAAUUAUUAAAUUUUAAAUCAGUUUGUUUUAAACUAUAAAAAACAAUUAGAAGCAUUUAUGCGUAAGUUCCAAUUAUGGAUCAGUAAAUGUUUAACCCCGCGGGUUAUGCGAUAUCCAGUUUUACAUCGAUAAUGCCUAUAUUCAUUUUGUUUUAGUUUAUCUAGCGUAAUGGUAUACAAGAUCUUCUAGUACUUUCAUAAAUUUUAUAAAACUACUUUUAAAUAAAACCACUUUUCGGCAUUCGUUGUUUGGAUUUUAUUAAAUAUUAAAAUAUAUGGGGAGAUUUAUUAAUUAUUUAUUAAUUAUUAAUUAUAAUUUAUUUAUUCAUUUUAUUUUAAAUCCUUAUACAUCUUAAUAUUCGAUAAUAUCCGUGCAAGACUACCGAAAACUGGUAGAGUGUCAAUCACUUUUCUCCUCUCUAUUCUAGAUUUUUUCUUAAAUAUUAAGAAUAUUUGUGGGUAUAAAUAAUUUUGGAAUAUAAUUGUAAAAGUAUUAAGGAAUAUGAAAGAAUAUUUUCCGUGUUUUCAUUAUAAUAUGAAUUUUUAAAUACAUUAAGAACUCUAAACAUGAAAUUUAUCCAGAUGAACUUUUUAAACGUUACCGUUCUUAAAAACAUGUGUUUCACAAAACUGAUUUUUUGUUUUUUUAUUAUAAUUUUUUUCAAUUUCACUGAAUCGUAAAGACAUUAAGAUUAGUAUUCCUCAAUGUUUUCUAUACUGAUUGAGAAAAAAGAAUUGAAUUUUGAUUAUUUUUCCGGAAGUUAUGAACAAAUAAGAAUGAGCUGAGAGUAAAAUUUAUUCAUGUUUAAAGUGUAACUUUUUGAGCUGUAAGGUUAACCCUUUCGUAUCUUCGGCUUUCCUAGAAGAUGUAUGUUCUUUAUUGGAACGAUUAUGGAAGUUCUUCUUGAUUUUAAAUUUACUAUUAAAAUUUAAAUUCAAAAUAUAUGGCGAACCCAAAAUAGCAGCCAUGAGAAACUCGAAUGUUGAUAUAUUUAAAAUAUGAGCUUGGAUUAAGCUUCUUUAUUACUAAUUAUAAAUAGAAUGUAAAAAUUGAAAUUUAAGAUGAUAGAUUUCAGAUUGUGACUACAAGAAAGACAUUCAUUUUUGACUACAGAUUAAAGUCUACUAUUCCAUACCGAUACUAUCGAUGGUUGUGGAUGUAUAGUUAUGCAGUUAUAUAACUUCUACAAGCAACAAUAUAUUUGCUAACAAAACGUGAUUCUUUCUUCUAUAAAUUCGCUAAGUGAGAUGAAGAAACUUUGAGGAAACAUUGCUAAUUGCCAGUUAAAAGUUGGAUUUUUUGGAAAGUUUUAUAUAACUGUAUUUAAUCAAAAAUAUUAAAUUUGGAAAUAUAUUAAUUUUUUACAUAUAGGCUUAAUCUUCUUCUAAUAAGCCAAGAUAGAAGUCGAUAAGGAUACGCUAUUUUUUUUAAAGUUAUGAUAUUUCUUUCAUAAGUGGAACAUAUGGAUACUGGAGAUAUGCGAAAGGAUUAAUAAACCAAGUUUGACUCAAAAGUAGAAUUAAAUUCGAAAUUAGGAUUGUAUCUUUUCAUUUCGACGUACUUUGCGGGAAUUCUGGGCCGUUUCCUCGCUUCUGACGUCAUAGAUCGAAAGGUUGCGGCGAAUAGCCAGAGAGGAUCCUUAAAUAUAAUUUAAAUUCACAGAGUUGCGAAGUAAUCAUAAAAAUGCGACAUUUAUUACUUUGCGGAUUAUGUGAAAGAAGGAGUCCCGUAGGAUACAGACGCUCGAUUCUGGACGGUGCGUUUGCGUUCUAGGGGCCGCUUCUUGGUUCGCUACAAAGCGAACAACAUACGCGCGACGGUGACCCAGCGGAUUGACAUCGAUCAGCGCGACUACAGCUGAUCCAUUCCGGAGGGGAGUCGCAGCACGCUCGAUUGUUUAUAAAAGGAAUCGAGAAUGGAGCGAGACGGAGGAAGAGGCAAAAAAGAAAGAAGUGGAUGCGAUGAAAUACGGACCGUAAAUUACGAGAUGAGGAAGACGAUAACGUAUUUAUCCCAAUAGCUGAUGAAGAGAGUUCGCUGGAAGGCGGCGAAUCGUGACGACGGAAAUUUUACGAACAGCGAAGUCUGGGGGUUGACGGAUGAUUCCUUGGCGACUGUUCUUCUUGCACCUGUUUGCUCAUUAUCUUCAUUAUAAUUAUGCGUAUGACUUCCCUCGUGUCGAGUCGACGCAGAAGUCGCCCGAGGAGUGUGCGCGAGGUCGGAAAAUUUCGCGGUGAAUCGCGAGACCAAUAGAGCGUAGUCAAACAACGCUAGAUCUGCUCGGCAAACAGCCGUGCAGGUCGAGGUGGUGCCCGAACGCUGGGAAUUAACAUCGCUGGGAGAGACGUAGUCGGCACGUGGCUGACGACGACGACGACGGUCACAGACACAUCGGCACCUCGUCGUGACGUUCAGCGACGUUGAAACGCGCGCGGAACAAAAGAGGAACACCGACGCGGGACCGUUCUUCCCGGCGCACAGAAGGAGAAGCGCUCGAGGUCGUGUCGCGUCGCGUCGCGGAAAGCCACGAUAUCAGAGAUAACGUUUCGAAACUAAUUAAUUCGUGCGGCAAACAGACUCCCGCGACUCGUCUGUCGCGGGACUACGACAUUGACGAUCUUAGUCGUCGGCUGCCAGUCGCGAAAUACGGCGAUUCACGAACCACUGCUCGUCGACCGUCGCUCAACGCUACCGUCCUGGAGUCUCCAUCGCGAUCUGAAGAUCCUCGGUAUCCUCGCGAGCAAGAUCAGCCUGGGCUCACCAAGAUAGAACUCAAUAAUAACAACGACAACAAUAAUAAUAAUAAUAAUAAUAAUAUUAAAAGCAGUCAGAUAAAGCGUACAUCUUUGACGAUCAGCAACGCGCCGUGACGUCGCAGCUGAUAAGUAGAACAAAUAACCGUCGGGGCUGCUCUGCUCUUCGAAUCUGCAACGUCUGCAACCAGAAGAUAAGUUCGAGGCCGCGCAUCUCCGCAGAUAAAUUGAGAGGCUAUCGUGCGGCGUGCAUCGAGUUGCGGCCUGACAAAUUGGUGGAGACUCGACCUACGCGUCCGCGGUGCGAUCGUGAGGCUGUCUGCUGCUCCGAGACAUCCAGGUGACGAUCGCUAGGUGGUAACGAACGAAUUCGCCUGUGACGUAACAUCACCAGCACGGGACUACGCUGGAGGAGGAUAAAGGAGUCGCGUCUCUCGUUGAUCAGCACUGAGUGGCUUCAAUUGAGCGCCGACCCUCGCGAGUGGUGCCCAUUGGCCAAGCUGUUAAUUCCUUGAGGCACGAUUGGAGCGAAUCACUCGCGGACGUUCCAACAUUCGCAUCGGCACCUCGAGUCAUCGAGCAAUACGCCGGCCAUCGUCUAGCCGAGCGUGCUCGGCUACUUCUGCCGUGUUUCCUCGCCAGGACCUCGCGUGAGCCUGAGGGAACGAAGGAUCGUGCACUUGUGGAUCUUUAGUGCUCGUGCAAAGUGAACACUCGCUGGGACAGGCUAAGCCAACAAGCUGAUCCGCAGAGUAGCACGUGUUAGGAGCAGUAGGGUCGCAGUGAACGAGCCCCAAUAUCACGAGGAAGUGUUGGCCGACACAGGAGAAUCAAGAAGCGCCUCUCCGGUAUCGUGGUGAACCUCCGAGGUCCGCGUGACGAGAAUUCUAAUCGCAUCCGACUCUCCCGGCGACUGAAUGGCCCAAAUCUACUGGCUGCUGCUCUUUGAAAGACUCUGACAGUGUCUCCUCGCGCGAUCACGGCGAGGCCAUAAGAGAAAAGCAGACACGGCAGAUAUCGCGGCUAGGUGGAUACUCAGUCCUUUUGGUCCCGCCUUUAGGGGAGACUUGCCCUAAAGGACUCUCCUAGACCUUCUGCCGCUUUCAGAACAAUUCCGGGGAACGUGGCUGAGAAAGAGAAAGACAAAACGGUACGCGCCACUGACGUCAACUACAACGGGCCUCGUUCUUCCUCUCCGGGAUCAGGUUUUUCUUUCGGACGGCACCAUGGAGCGAAGGAUCCUGAAAAUGUGGUGAUAACGGUUAGGCGAGGGCGCCUCCGAUACCCAAGACACUAUCCAGUGUGUGAGCCAUAGUCGUUAGAGAGCGAUCAAACAAUAAAUCUCGCGACGUCGAGCCUAAUCAGGCUAGACCCGAGCAAGGCCCGUUCAUUCGAUCCCUCGAGUUCUCACGACAAGCGCCACGAGAGGUUCCACUGCGCGCAGAGGGCUUUUCACAUUGCGAAGUGCAUGUCCAUCCUCGGGACGACGAUCCAGUCGAACUGCGGCAUUGCGGGAUCAGUCGUCGCAGCGUAGCCCCACUUAGAUCCAAGUGCGAGGAGAGGCGCGAGUCUCCCACGGAAAGGCGAGGUCUCGAUCGAAUAAUUAAGGUGUCGCGUGGACACCUGUUUACCUCGGAAAUGUUUCCGGUUCUGCGUGACUGACAUCUCCUCUCUUCGAUUCUUCAUCGGAGACGAGAACUCCUUCCCGUUGCUUUUCACGCGAGGAAGUCAGCACAUCAGGGAGAGAAGGCAAAACGCACCGA
RNA transcript from Odontomachus brunneus, 6336 nucleotides. It is a transcript of the gene named probable inactive tRNA-specific adenosine deaminase-like protein 3, with no coding region annotated. The record is from RefSeq and is a predicted model, not a curated record. Lineage: Eukaryota; Metazoa; Arthropoda; Insecta; Hymenoptera; Formicidae. The transcript has 2 exons.